GCUUUAACAGUAUGUACCGGUGGGAAGCUUAUUAUGGGAAAUUUGCCAAAGGAAGACUGAUAUUUUUGGGGGGAUUUUCAGUUUCUAAAUCCAACUGUGAGAAGAAUUUUGAGUGGGAGUAGGGUUUAAUGAUGCAUAAAAAAAUUUAUCAGAGAAGUAACCCUGGGGGUAAGUGACCAAAAAAUUUGAUCAUAGCUUGUUGUGGAGAAAGACAUGUACAUAUCCUUGAUACUGUGGAAGACAAGAGGGGUUGCUCUGAUGGCAAGCAACCUCUACUUCCAACCGAGAGGUUGUGAGUUUGAGUCUCCCCAAGAGCAAAGUGAGAAGUUCUUGGAGGGAAGGAUGCCGGAGGUAUAUUUGGAAACAGUCUCUCUAUCCUAGAGUAGGGGUGAGGUCUGCAUACACACUACCCUCUCCAAACCUCAUUAAGUAAGAUUAUACUGGAUUGUUGUGCUCAAUUUGUUAUGGUAAGAUGAAAGGUAAUGUUUCCAGAUGUCAAGCCCGAUUAUAGUAGUAACUGGAAAGUAAUUUUUUCUCCUCAUAUCUAGGUAGUGGUCCAUUGAUGCAAUUGCGGAGGGUGAAAUGUGGUUUGAUCCAAGGGUCCGACCAAAAAUGCACACGGUGACCAGUGACAAGGUUCCAUUGGUAGCCUAAUUUACAGGACAACCAACCCCGCAUUAUGUUCCUCCAAGUGGAGGAGACAAUAUUUUUUUCUUGAUCUUUGGGACGUAGAUAUUUAUGCAAUAAUACUUGUGCCCAAAUUUGAUUUGAAUUUUGAAAGGGUCACCAUGCAAGGCUUGCGUG
RNAcentral lists this long non-coding RNA (804 nucleotides) under Nicotiana benthamiana. RNAcentral's name for it is "long non-coding RNA (NBEN_LNC002833)". Lineage: Eukaryota; Viridiplantae; Streptophyta; Magnoliopsida; Solanales; Solanaceae. The record is from RNAcentral.